CCGAGUGUUUGGAUGCCCCUUCUCGGGGUGUCCGUCCUCCCAUCCGUGUCUAUUUGUACCCUGUUGCUUCGGCGGGCCCGCCCUUCGUGGCCGCCGGGGGCUUCCCUGCCCCCGGGCCCGUGCCCGCCGGAGACCUCAACCAUGAACACUGUCUGAAGGUUGCAGUCUGAGUACCGAUAUAAAAAUCGUUA
Molecule: unclassified non-coding RNA, 191 nt
Filed under: uncultured Aspergillus
Lineage: Eukaryota; Fungi; Ascomycota; Eurotiomycetes; Eurotiales; Aspergillaceae
Description: sequence contains ITS1
Source: RNAcentral